Long non-coding RNA from Homo sapiens (human), 1724 nucleotides. Ensembl annotates it as long intergenic non-protein coding RNA 858. NCBI's taxonomy places the organism in Eukaryota, Metazoa, Chordata, Mammalia, Primates, Hominidae. The record is from Ensembl.
GGGGGAGGAGCCAAGAUGGCCGAAUAGGAACAGCUCCGGUCUACAGCUCCCAGCGUGAGCGACGCAGAAGACGGGUGAUUUCUGCAUUUCCAUCUGAGUUAGGCUUGGCCACAAGAGACAAAUUGCAAGGCAUGGAGACAUUUUUCUAACACUUGAAAAUUCUAUGCAAGAGCACCAGGCAGCUCAGUCACCUUGUCACUUAUCUACUGGGUCACCUUGUUGGCAUGGGAUGCCAGCCAGGCUUGCAGCUGCUCCAUCCUCCCCUGAAUUUGUACUUCAGCUUCUCCACUCAUGGCCUGCCCUGAGGACUUCAUGGUUCAGCAUCAGAUAUGAAGACGACAGCCCUAUAGAGACUAUUUAACCAGCUUCUAAGGUGGUUAAAUAUCUUACCAGCCUAUGAUGAAGAAAGGGAAACUCACUUCAGGUCAAUAGAGAUUGUCAUUUGGGACCCCUUCAAGACAACCAAUUAUAUGACUGUCUCUAAAAUAUUGCUAUCCAGCCCCCAUUCCUCACUUUUGUCCUACUGGUAAUAAGACAUUCAUCGUGUAUCUUUCAGAAGUCCAGAUACCACAGUCUGAGUAGUUCUUUAAUCUGCUUAUCUGGUGAUUCCAUCACAAAUGGUUCAGAUACUUCCAGAGACAACUGCCUUUAGAGGAGUCAUACACAUUCUCCUUCAGCCUGGACACUAACUCAGUAAGCAGCAGCUUCAGAAUAAUGCACCUGUGAUCAGGCCAAUUGGGAUAGAGGCAUCAUCUGCCCUUAUCUUCUCAGAGCCAAAGAAACUAACUUAAUUUUCCGUAUCAGCUUCAUUUUCCCCUUUACUCAAUGCCCAGAGAUUAAUUCUUGGUUUCAGCCCCACCCCAUGAAAAGGAUGUCUAUUCAAUCAGAGAGACACAAAGAUGGCUUGUGCAAACCAAGCAAAAAAGACACAAGAGGAAUUUAUUCUGGUUAAUAAGCUGAGAGCAAACAUGUAGAGGCUAAUUGUAUGGUGAGUACAAGAAGAGUUUCUUAUCUGGGGAGUGUAUAAUGUUGGGGUAGACACUGUCAUUUGUUUUCUUAUCCAAUAGCCAUCAUUCUUCAUUGCUUAGAAAAAAAAACUUUGUGCUACAGCUGUCAGGCAAGUGGCAUGGGAUUUAGGAGAAAAUUAUUUGCUGUCAGCCCUGAAGGAUGAAGGAAUCACAAUUUCUCUGUACAAUCAUGGUAGUCAGCUUUCAAGAUUCCUCCAAUGAUUCUCAUCUCCUGCUAUUCAUGCCCUUGUGUAGUUAUCUCUUGCACAGAAUAGGGCUGAUGUGUGACCAGUAGGAUAUUAUGGAAAUGGCAGAAUUUGAUGUUCAUAAAAGAUGUUGCAGCUUUUACCUCGCUCUCUCAGAUUAUUCACCCUGGAGAAGGCUGUUGUUUAUCUUUUCACAUUGUGAAAACAUUCAAGUGGCCCUCUGUGAAGUCCAUGUGAUUGGGACUUGAGGCUUCCUGACAAUAGCCACCACGAAUUUGCCGACCAUGUGAGUGGCACAACUUUGUUCAGGUGACUGGAGGCCCAGCUGGCAUUUUGCCUGCUAUUUCAUAAGAGACUCCAAGCCAGAACCAUCCAACAGAGCCAACUAAGUCUCUUCCAAAUUCCUGGCCCAAAGAAACUCUGAGAGAUAAUACAUAUUUAUUGUUAUUUAAGCCACUGAAUUUCAGAGUAAUUUGUUAUGCAGAAAUAAAUAACACCAAUUGUGUUGAAU